This 465-nucleotide ribosomal RNA is filed under the name Flavobacterium sp. 01WB02.4-1. RNAcentral's name for it is "bacterial SSU rRNA". It matches the Rfam family "Bacterial small subunit ribosomal RNA", at positions 1 to 475 of the family's 1533-position model. The record is from RNAcentral. Lineage: Bacteria; Pseudomonadati; Bacteroidota; Flavobacteriia; Flavobacteriales; Flavobacteriaceae.
UGAGCUUGAUCCUGGCUCAGGAUGAACGCUAGCGGCAGGCUUAACACAUGCAAGUCGAGGGGUAUGGUUCUUCGGAACCAGAGACCGGCGCACGGGUGCGUAACGCGUAUGCAAUCUACCUUUUACAGAGGGAUAGCCCAGAGAAAUUUGGAUUAAUACCUCAUAGUAUAGCAGCUUCGCAUGAAGCCACUAUUAAAGUCACAACGGUAAAAGAUGAGCAUGCGUCCCAUUAGCUAGUUGGUAAGGUAACGGCUUACCAAGGCUACGAUGGGUAGGGGUCCUGAGAGGGAGAUCCCCCACACUGGUACUGAGACACGGACCAGACUCCUACGGGAGGCAGCAGUGAGGAAUAUUGGACAAUGGGCGCAAGCCUGAUCCAGCCAUGCCGCGUGCAGGAUGACGGUCCUAUGGAUUGUAAACUGCUUUUAUACGAGAAGAAACACUCCUUCGUGAAGGAGCUGACGG